Molecule: ribosomal RNA, 424 nt
Filed under: Bacillus sp. R-32779
Lineage: Bacteria; Bacillati; Bacillota; Bacilli; Caryophanales; Bacillaceae
Description: bacterial SSU rRNA
Rfam family: Bacterial small subunit ribosomal RNA
Source: RNAcentral
GCUCAGGACGAACGCUGGCGGCGUGCCUAAUACAUGCAAGUCGAGCGAACCACUUCGGUGGUUAGCGGCGGACGGGUGAGUAACACGUGGGCAACCUGCCUGUAAGACUGGGAUAACUUCGGGAAACCGGAGCUAAUACCGGAUAAUCCUUUUCCUCUCAUGAGGNAAAGCUGAAAGACGGUUUCGGCUGUCACUUACAGAUGGGCCCGCGGCGCAUUAGCUAGUUGGUGAGGUAACGGCUCACCAAGGCGACGAUGCGUAGCCGACCUGAGAGGGUGAUCGGCCACACUGGGACUGAGACACGGCCCAGACUCCUACGGGAGGCAGCAGUAGGGAAUCUUCCACAAUGGACGAAAGUCUGAUGGAGCAACGCCGCGUGAGCGAUGAAGGCCUUCGGGUCGUAAAGCUCUGUUGUUAGGGAAGA